Molecule: ribosomal RNA, 451 nt
Filed under: uncultured bacterium
Lineage: Bacteria
Description: bacterial SSU rRNA
Rfam family: Bacterial small subunit ribosomal RNA
Source: RNAcentral
GUCGAGAGGCUUUGGCAAUGGGGGAAACCCUGACCAAGCGACGCCGCGUGGGGGAUGAAGGCCCUUGGGUUGUAAACCCCUUUUGUUCGGGAAGAAGUGCGAUCAGGUGAACAAUCUGGUCGUUUGACGGUACCGGACGAAUAAGCUCCGGCUAACUCCGUGCCAGCAGCCGCGGUAACACGGGGGGAGCAAGCGUUGUUCGGAAUCACUGGGCGUAAAGGGCGUGUAGGCGGUUCGGUAAGUGAGAUGUGAAAUGCCCCGGCUCACCCGGGGACCUGCAUCUCAAACUGCCGGACUAGAGUAUGGGAGAGGAUGAGGGAAUUCCUGGUGUAGCGGUGAAAUGCGUAGAUAUCAGGAGGAACACCGGUGGCGAAAGCGCUCAUCUGGCCCAAUACUGACGCUGAGGCGCGAAAGCUAGGGGAGCAAACGGGAUUAGAAACCCUUGUAGUCC